This 397-nucleotide ribosomal RNA is filed under the name uncultured bacterium. Its description in RNAcentral is "partial 16S ribosomal RNA". It matches the Rfam family "Bacterial small subunit ribosomal RNA", at positions 523 to 918 of the family's 1533-position model. The record is from RNAcentral.
AUACGUAGGGGGCGAGCGUUGUCCGGAAUGAUUGGGCGUAAAGGGCGCGUAGGCGGCCUGUUAAGUCUGGAGUGAAAGUCCUGUUUUCAAGAUGGGAAUUGCUUUGGAUACUGAUGGGCUUGAGUGCAGGAGAGGUUAUCGGAAUUCCCGGUGUAGCGGUGAAAUGCGUAGAGAUCGGGAGGAACACCAGUGGCGAAGGCGGGUAACUGGACUGCAACUGACGCUGAGGCGCGAAAGUGUGGGGAGCAAACAGGAUUAGAUACCUUGGUAGUCCACACUGUAAACGAUGAAUGCUAGGUGUAAGAGGUAUCGACCCCUUUUGUGCCGGAGUUAACACAAUAAGCAUUCCGCCUGGGGAGUACGGCCGCAAGGUUGAAACUCAAAGGAAUUGACGGGG